Zonotrichia leucophrys gambelii is the source of this 3329-nucleotide long non-coding RNA. RefSeq lists it as uncharacterized. The record is from RefSeq and is a predicted model, not a curated record. The transcript has 2 exons. NCBI's taxonomy places the organism in Eukaryota, Metazoa, Chordata, Aves, Passeriformes, Passerellidae.
CGGUGCCCCCGCGGCGGCAGUCGGCCUUUCCCUCCGCUAGAACACGAGCUGGACAUGGGGGUUGAUGCCUGCGAUCACCGUGUUCCUCUCCCUUUGGAAAGUUGUGGAGUGCGCUGCUGGGCUCCCCUGACGGAGGCUGCAGCAGCCAGGCCUGGCCGCACGUUAGUGCUCGUCUGGGCAUCUAGAGCGUGCUCGGGAAAGGCUGUUCUUCCCUUCCUCAGAGCGGGACAGCGUUGCAGGCGCAGGCAGUGGGGUGGUGCCGGGACAAGCAGAGGAGCUCUCUUCUUUCUCUCUCUGUGUCUGGGAGCUGCAGCUCGGUUUAACCCCUGGAAGGGCUCUUGGCACGGGAGUUUGAGUCUGCACGGGCUGCGGUGCCCCUGGAGAUCGAGCCUGAGCCUUAGAAACCGGCGGCAAGGAAGCAGAAGGGCUGGGAAGUGAAGCGCUCUGGAGCCAGGCUCUUUCCAAACUCCCAGGGUACAAAAUUACAAGCACUAAAGUAAUCGUCAUUAGCGAGGCGUGCGCGCAGCCAAGAAAGCCAAAUGAGACAGGUGGGCACGGCGAUGGCAGCGCCGCUCUAGGAUUGCCCUGCAAUGCCUCUAAAUCCCCGUUUCCAAACUCCAGCAGAACUUUGGAUUUUGUUUUGUGUUGUUAACUUUUGCCCGUGGUGGCUGAUCCCCAUCUCUGGGCCACUCCAGGGAAGGGGACAUCCUCCGGGCACCAGGCUGCUUGCACUCAUCAGCCCGUUUUUCCCACCGCUCUCCAAACAAUACAAAGUUUUUCUUUCCAGUAACUUUUGGCUGUCUGCGUGAAGUGACCAUUUCCAGAGAAAUCCUUGUUUCUACUGCUGAGCAGGACCUGCUGGCACAGAAGGAAUGGAUGGAACAAAACAUCAUGUUGUGCAAGAGGACUGAAAAUGCUGGCUUUGAGAAGAAAAGCAGCCCUGGAAAUAGUAAGGGAGGGUGAAUGUUUGGGUUGUUUUCCCAUGGAAAAGGUUUACAACCUUUUCCUCCGCCUCCAGCACAGAUGGGCUCUUCAUCCCUCCUCGAAGGGAGCAGCAUAUCCGAGCUGUUCCCAUUCAGAGGCAGAGUUGGUUAUCUCCCUCCCUCUCCUCUGGUUAUUCCUAUCAGAUACCCGGCACAUGAGUCUUGGAAACCUUUUGGUUCUCUGUGCCCACAUCCUGUGGGAUUGAGCUAGAAGACACAACCACCUUUACUGUGUGUGCAGAGCGGGCUUGGUUGGGAUUUCACAGACAUGGGCUGGGCACAUUCGUGGGGCCACGUGGGACACUUGGCACCACCCGCAGCUUUCUGAUCUGGACCCAACACUUCGCCAAAAGCCCCGCUGAGCCACAGAGAGCUGCUGCUGACAGCACAGGAUUAACAAUGGACUGCCAACACCCCCCUCCUGCACGUGUGCUGAGAAGAAAUCCCAGCUGGGUGAAAAAGUUUGGCAGUGAGAAGGGAGGGCCCCAGGAGCCUUCCUUCAGAGGGAAUGGGUGCCUGGAGGGAAACUCUGGGGCAGCCUGAGCCAGAGGAGCAGAUCACACUGCCUGGCCUGAUGCUGCUCCAGGAGACAGCUGGGUGGAAAAUGGUACCUGGAAGGGUGGGACACUGCAGCUGAACCAGAAUCACUCUCAGGCAGGAUGUGCACAGCUCCAGGGGUGCUCCCAACACCCACUUCUCUCCCUCCAGUGCACUAUGCCCUGGGACAUGCAGCCCUUCCAGACAGAUUCCCUGCUGCCUCUGGUUCUGUUCCAGCCUCCCAGUGCUUGUGUCUGACCUCAGUUUGGCACAGCCACGCCAGUCCACCCCCAGAGCACAGGGGAAAGCUUCUCCCUGUGCCAGUCCUAGAAAGACACUGGCAUCCCUCACUUUUGUAGGCUCCAGCUGAACAAACACAGGUGCUGCUCUUCACACCCGCCAGCUGCCCUGCUCUGGGGCACGAGCUCUCUGGCUGGCUCUAGGGCUUCAUUUGCACAAGCUGCCUGUUUUAUUCUCUCAUCCCUAAGCCUCAGGCUGCUGCUGCUGCUCCAGGACUGGCAUUGCUUGCACCUGAAGGCACUGGGGCUGCCUGACAGCCCAGGAGUUCCCCCUAAUUUUUCUGCCCUACAUGCCAGCUCAGAGGGGAUCCAGAAGCACAGAGGAGAUGCCUGCACCCCCAAAUCCUGCAGCAAAAGGCAGCAGCAGGCAGAUCCCAUGGCCAGACAGGAGCCUGAUAUCUUGAGGCUUGUCAAGGCCCUGGGAAAAGAGGCAGGAGCUUGGAGCAGGGUGGCUUGUGCCCCCCUAGCUACGCCAGCUCCUUGGGCUGCCUUCCCUCCUGACACUAUCCUGCCUGCCCAGGAAAGCUUCCUGCAGCCUGGUUAUCUCUGCCUCAGCCUCACCCAGGCCAGAAGAAGCCCAAAACACAACCCUGUGCUCCUCAAAGUCCACGUGUAGCCAGGGAUGGGGCCAGCUGGUUUUUAGAGAUCACAGCCCAUGCAAAGCCCUGAAUUCCCUCCUUGUCCUGCCCAAUGCCCCCACGACAGCAAAGAGGACUGGUCACUGGUGGUAUAUUUAUAUAUCAAUACAAAUAAAACCAAAACAACUCCCAAAAAAGUAACAACAACAAAAAGGUUUCUCUGAGAGCAAAAUAGGAACAUUUACAAAUACUUCUGGCUCUGGCUUGGAUCAAGUUAAUGUUAAAUACAAAAAAAAAUAAAAACAAACACAAAAAAAACCCCAAAAGAAAAUGAAACAAAACCUCCCAAACCCCAUGCCCCCCUCCCCCAAGAUUAUAAAAAAAUAAGAAUAUACACAUUCAAAGAGCUUAUUACAGUAUAAAGUUGGGGAGGCCCAGGCAGUGGCGGGGCUGGGGCAGAGGCUCGGUGCCUCUCCAGGGUUUGGGGUUUACUCUUGCUCAGCGCUUUCCCAGCCCAUGACUCAAGGCAGGGCUGGGCCUGCGGGUUCCCAGGGGCAGCUUGGGAAAGCCGGGCAACCUGGAGAGCCGGUCGGUCCCCAGGGCCCCGUCACCCUGUCACCCUGUCACCUCGUACCUAGUGACUCCCUCAGCGGCACCCAAGGGCAGGGGAUGCCUGCCAGCUCAGCACCCUCCAGACAGACAACCCAAUCCUCCAGAUCCUCCCAGGAGCACUGCUGCUAUCUCUCUCUGUGGGGAGGAUGAGACAAAGAAACAGGGGGGACACCAUCGGGUAUCCUUGUGCCUCCAGCGGGAUGGGCACAGGAGGGGGUACUGGGUCCCAACGCUGCCCGUCAGGGGAAAUAAGGGCAAGGGGGAAGACAAGACAGAGCCAGGACCAAACUCACCGCUCCAGAGAUCACAGCAGUGAGGUG